Molecule: ribosomal RNA, 182 nt
Filed under: uncultured bacterium
Lineage: Bacteria
Description: partial 16S ribosomal RNA
Rfam family: Bacterial small subunit ribosomal RNA
Source: RNAcentral
UAUGAAGUUGGAAUCGCUAGUAAUCGCGGAUCAGCAUGCCGCGGUGAAUACGUUCCCGGGCCUUGUACACACCGCCCGUCACACCAUGAGAGUCGGGAACACCCGAAGUCCGUAGCCUAACCGCAAGGAGGGCGCGGCCGAAGGUGGGUUCGAUAAUUGGGGUGAAGUCGUAACAAGGUAGC